GCAGCAGGAGCAGCAGCAGCAGUAGCAGCAGUGGCAGCAGUGGCAGUAGCGGCAGCAGCAACACCGACCGCGCGGGGGCCCGGCGCCGCUUCCGGGCAAUGGUGGAGCAGGUAGAUUUCAAGGCAAAGGGAUUCAUAAAGCAGCUCCUGUUCCUGGUGCUUGCUUAGAGUUUACCAAGUCCUCAACUGGAAAUGUCAGCGCGCUCCUUUGCCUUGCUUGCUGUGCCCACCCUCACGGAAGCUAACGUGCUGCUUGUGUUGGAAGGGCAAGACCAGGGGGUUCUUCCAACAGACUCUCAUGGUGUAAGUGUACACCACAAAUUCCACGUGCAGUUUCCCCCCAGCCUUUAAGUCAGAGCAUAGAGGCUGUUCAAGAGGAACAAGAUAGUUCAGAAAGCAGAGAACACUUGGCUGGGUCAAUGGGCUUUGGUAACGCUGUCUUCCGAGCUGAAAUUUGUCCUGGAUGACAAAGCCAGGUACUGAGAAGAGACCGAGGGGGAGACCCCUCACAGCCAUCAGAAGAUCCUACUGGUUACGUGCCGUUCCCAGUGCUUUGCCAAGAGAUGGCUCAGGAAAAAUCGCUUCUAGUUCACCCAAACCUGCAGCUCCCUUUGCUCCCCUUUGGGAAGGAAGCCUCUCCUCCAUCGCCCACUCACCCAGCCUUGCCUGGGACCUGCAGGGGUGCCUGCAACCGAGCAGGAGAGGAACUGCCACAGAGCCGCAUCCCACAGUUUCAGUGCUCUGACGAAUAAUCAUUUACUUGUUUAAUAACUGCAGAAAAGGACAGCCCAAUUCUUAUCAUCAGGCUCUCUAGAGAUUUGACAUCCUUGGCAUUGUAUCCUAAGAGGAAGGAAACUUCUCACUUCCCUAGCUAUUUCAGUUAUAUAAAUCAGUUGUUGAGGGAGAGUUUAACUGCUCUGCGCAGGGGAACCAAGGCAACUACACUUGGGCUCCCCACGGGCUAGGGAGAUGCUUUCUAUAAAUUAAAAAUACAAUGUUUAUAAAGUAUCAGUAAUUACAUGCAAGUACACUGGGAAAAAAUGUGAAAUCUAAUAGCUAGAAAAAAGCAACAACUUGAUUUUCUACUGGCAGUCAUGCCCUGGGUCUGUCAGAAAAUGUCCCCAGCAUGAAGCUGGUGGGUUGGGGUCUGUCACCAAACACCGACCACCCACCUCUCACGUUCUCCAUCCUCCUUGGAACUCCCUCGUCAGCUGGGUAAGUGGGUUCAGUGGCAGAAAAUUAAAGAACUAAUAAGAGACUAUUAAUAAGGGCUGGUGGGUUUGAAGAUAAAAGAGUUUUCUGGCAAAGAGAAAGUUGCUAUGGGCUGCAGAAAGAACAGUAAAAAGAUGGAUAAACCCUGAAAAUAGCUCUGGUAGCUCCAUGAGCAUAAAGGCACUGGUUUACAAUGGCAGGCAACCCAAAAGCAAAUGCUGCAGGUAUUCCAGUAUCUCACCUUGUUACUAACACCCUAAUUAUUCACUUUAGCAAGGACCGGGUCUGAGCUAAGCAACAGAAUCUAACGUGUGAGUAGAUUGCUGGACAAUGAAACUCUGACAAAGAGGGGGCAACUCACACGUGGCAAGUGUGUCUGAGUAUCUGCUUCUAGGGAAAUGGCGUGUUCCAAGCGAGUACCCUUCACAGCUAAUAUAAUUUGCUUAUUUUGCAAAUCUAGAGACCUAUUUGAUUAAAAGUAACGACUCAAGUGAGCAGGCAGGGAAGGUUCUGUCCUGCAAUGGGAAUUCUUGUCUUUCUCUGAAUGCCAACUUUGGAGCUCUCUCCUCUAACCCUCCUACUCCUAGAGGAGUAUGCUCUCCUGGGAUUAAGAUGGGUCAAUGGACUUGGUUGGUGUGAUUUAUUUUGCUUCGGUAAAAAUACAACAUUUAUUAUGCUAUGACCCCUGGCAUCUAAGACUCAGAUGCUCAACAGCCAGCCUACCUGUGCGCACACGGUACAACAGCUCAAAUGCCUUCAGUUUUCAAACCUGGGCAAGAAACAGCACUGGUCAGGUUUCCAAAAACGCACACACCACCUUGCUCUGCAGAAAAGGGAAUUAGUCAGCAAAGGGGUAUUCUUUAGGGUGUCUUCCCUCAUUGUUCUUUGGCUGCAACAUCCACUGAUAUUUUUGGUUGCAGACCAAAAUUGUGAAAUUGGGUACUCUGAGUCAGCCCAGAAAUGUAGAUGAGAUUGAAGCCUAGCAUUCUGCAAGGAAUGGAGGACACGACCAACUAGCCGGACAAGGGAAAUAUUUUUCAUACAUCUUCUCAAAGUGUUUUUUCUCUAAGCAAGAGAGCCACAGAGAUAUUUCACACCAAAGUAGUGGCCCACGGACACUGCUCAGUUCCUCAAGGGGACACGUUCCUCAGUUCCUCAAGGGGAUGCGAGCAGGCCGGGAGUUUUGAAAUGUGGGCAUUUUUAAUUCACUUUGUGUGAUUUUAAUCCAGUUUGUAUGGGCCUUGGCAGUACAAAAGCUUCAGGUCCUCCUCCCACAACGCUGGGCUCCUACAGGGAAAUGUGUGAGGGUUGUCUCCUGUUCCCCCGGGAGUGCUCAUAAAGAUGUGGCUGUGACCCGCUGAGUAAAGUCACCACUGUUUUUAAUUCCCUACCUGCCUUUGGGAAACUGCAACAACGCACAAGCCAGUUUCUCCAGGCUCAGCGGGCUCCUUAAAUUCAAGCUGAAGAUAUUAGGGCCACAAGCAGGCAAUCUCUCUCUGGUCCAAACAGCUGAACUCUAUUGAGACGAGAGACAUUCAGUUAUAGCUUAAUCUAGUAAUGACUUUGUAUUCUUUUUGCUGCAAUAAGGAGGUUAACAUUCUAUGGGGCUGCCUCUCGUGCACAAUCCUUGAAGCACUCAGCCUGUUAUGAUGGAAACCGGAUAAUUAACCUGGGAUGAGAGCUCGUUCCCAUUCUUGAAGUAGCUUUCAAAAGUUAGUAUGUUCGUUUGCUUUUCUUUUUAAACAAAAGUUGGGGUUUUGUAGUCCCCCACUCAUUGCUUAUAGACAAGUUUCUUCCUGCAAGACCCUCUGGAAUUGCUCACGGCAACAGGAAAUUAGGAUGUUUAAAAUGAAGCCAACUGGGAGCCAUGAAAUAGCCUGCGGCAUUUUGCUUGCUGCAGAGAGUAGCCCAUUGGACAGCGGGAUAUAGGGACCACUGGCACACAGACAUAAUUUCAGUUCUGCUUGCGUGAUAACAUCAUCUGUUUUACUCUCUGGGAGAUUUAGUCACUGUUUGAACAGUGCGCGUACUCAGGUUUGUAUAACACGUGUCAUUAAACUCUUGAAAAAGUCUUCAGAAAAAGAAGAAAUCAUCUGUACCACUCAGGCUGAGAGGAGAAGCUCCAUCUAAAAGCUCAAUCUACAAGAAGCCUGCCUGCUACAAAUACGUGUUUUCUUCCUUAAAACUUUGUGCUUGGGACAGUCAUGAGAAACGCUGAAGCACUUUGUAUGAUUUUCUUUGCACUUACUAGUGCUUUGUAUUCCACUAGUUCAAACAAAUAUCAGCAAUUUCUAAGUUGUUUAGUCAUUAUAUUUCAGGGUCCUUCUCAAAUUAGAGCAGAGAGAAAAGCUUUUUCGUGCCUUACAAUUUUUUUCUCGUUUGGAAUACGCUGCUAAAACGCUCUGAAGAGUCAGAAUUUGUUCAGUUAGUUACUUCUCAAUACUUAAAACUGACAACUAUUUUACCUACAGCAACUGCCACAGUGUACGCAGCUCCUAUGCACGCUCCUUCUUCUCUCUCUAGCUUUUCACCACACUUAUCACAAAGA
Molecule: long non-coding RNA, 3759 nt
Organism: Cygnus olor (mute swan)
Lineage: Eukaryota; Metazoa; Chordata; Aves; Anseriformes; Anatidae
Exons: 2
Source: RefSeq, a predicted model, not a curated record